Non-coding RNA from Pelobates cultripes (western spadefoot toad), 292 nucleotides. The record is from the annotation of a GenBank genome assembly. NCBI's taxonomy places the organism in Eukaryota, Metazoa, Chordata, Amphibia, Anura, Pelobatidae.
CAGGCACAGAAAACAUACAUUUUACAAUACCCCAAAACACAUGUCAUAUCUCCUAAUAGCCCUGAAAUCCCGAACCCCUGAACCGAUCUGGGUUAUUUUUGGAUAUGUUUGUCCCACAGUUUGGUUCAGGGGUUUCCAUGGAAGUCAUAAUUUGACUGACCGCACAUGAGGCUCCUGACGAAAACCGUUCCAGAGAAUCAGGGCUUGCGGUCGGUCUAGUUCGGUAGUUUAAAUACCAAGCAAACUACCGAACGUAUUCAAGAGUCUUACCCUGGAGCUUGUUCGCCUUGUU